Molecule: ribosomal RNA, 400 nt
Filed under: Acanthamoeba genotype T4
Lineage: Eukaryota; Discosea; Longamoebia; Acanthamoebidae
Description: SSU rRNA
Rfam family: Eukaryotic small subunit ribosomal RNA
Source: RNAcentral
AUUUUCUGCCACCGAAUACAUUAGCAUGGGAUAAUGGAAUAGGACCCUGUCCUCCUAUUUUCAGUUGGUUUUGGCAGCGCGAGGACUAGGGUAAUGAUUAAUAGGGAUAGUUGGGGGCAUUAAUAUUUAAUUGUCAGAGGUGAAAUUCUUGGAUUUAUGAAAGAUUAACUUCUGCGAAAGCAUCUGCCAAGGAUGUUUUCAUUAAUCAAGAACGAAAGUUAGGGGAUCGAAGACGAUCAGAUACCGUCGUAGUCUUAACCAUAAACGAUGCCGACCAGCGAUUAGGAGACGUUGAAUACAAAACACCACCAUCGGCGCGGCCGUCCUUGGCCGUGCGUCUCGUUUCGGCGAGGCGUUUGGCGGGGGCGGCUUAGCCCGGUGGCACCGGUGAAUGACUCCC